UGCAGUCGAGCGGACAGAUGGGAGCUUGCUCCCUGAUGUUAGCGGCGGACGGGUGAGUAACACGUGGGUAACCUGCCUGUAAGACUGGGAUAACUCCGGGAAACCGGGGCUAAUACCGGAUGCUUGUUUGAACCGCAUGGUUCAGACAUAAAAGGUGGCUUCGGCUACCACUUACAGAUGGACCCGCGGCGCAUUAGCUAGUUGGUGAGGUAACGGCUCACCAAGGCGACGAUGCGUAGCCGACCUGAGAGGGUGAUCGGCCACACUGGGACUGAGACACGGCCAAAACUCAUACGGGAGGCAGCAGUAGGGAAUCUUCCGCAAUGGACGAAAGUCUGACGGAGCAACGCCGCGUGAGUGAUGAAGGUUUUCGGAUCGUAAAGCUCUGUUGUUAGGGAAGAACAAGUGCCGUUCAAAUAGGGCGGCACCUUGACGGUACCUAACCAGAAAGCCACGGCUAACUACGUGCCAGCAGCCGCGGUAAUACGUAGGUGGCAAGCGUUGUCCGGAAUUAUUGGGCGUAAAGGGCUCGCAGGCGGUUUCUUAAGUCUGAUGUGAAAGCCCCCGGCUCAACCGGGGAGGGUCAUUGGAAACUGGGGAACUUGAGUGCAGAAGAGGAGAGUGGAAUUCCACGUGUAGCGGUGAAAUGCGUAGAGAUGUGGAGGAACACCAGUGGCGAAGGCGACUCUCUGGUCUGUAACUGACGCUGAGGAGCGAAAGCGUGGGGAGCGAACAGGAUUAGAUACCCUGGUAGUCCACGCCGUAAACGAUGAGUGCUAAGUGUUAGGGGGUUUCCGCCCCUUAGUGCUGCAGCUAACGCAUUAAGCACUCCGCCUGGGGAGUACGGUCGCAAGACUGAAACUCAAAGGAAUUGACGGGGGCCCGCACAAGCGGUGGAGCAUGUGGUUUAAUUCGAAGCAACGCGAAGAACCUUACCAGGUCUUGACAUCCUCUGACAAUCCUAGAGAUAGGACGUCCCCUUCGGGGGCAGAGUGACAGGUGGUGCAUGGUUGUCGUCAGCUCGUGUCGUGAGAUGUUGGGUUAAGUCCCGCAACGAGCGCAACCCUUGAUCUUAGUUGCCAGCAUUCAGUUGGGCACUCUAAGGUGACUGCCGGUGACAAACCGGAGGAAGGUGGGGAUGACGUCAAAUCAUCAUGCCCCUUAUGACCUGGGCUACACACGUGCUACAAUGGGCAGAACAAAGGGCAGCGAAACCGCGAGGUUAAGCCAAUCCCACAAAUCUGUUCUCAGUUCGGAUCGCAGUCUGCAACUCGACUGCGUGAAGCUGGAAUCGCUAGUAAUCGCGGAUCAGCAUGCCGCGGUGAAUACGUUCCCGGGCCUUGUACACACCGCCCGUCACACCACGAGAGUUUGUAACACCCGAAGUCGGUGAGGUAACC
Molecule: ribosomal RNA, 1400 nt
Filed under: Bacillus amyloliquefaciens
Lineage: Bacteria; Bacillati; Bacillota; Bacilli; Caryophanales; Bacillaceae
Description: bacterial SSU rRNA
Rfam family: Bacterial small subunit ribosomal RNA
Source: RNAcentral